This 497-nucleotide ribosomal RNA is filed under the name uncultured bacterium. RNAcentral's name for it is "partial 16S ribosomal RNA". It matches the Rfam family "Bacterial small subunit ribosomal RNA", at positions 28 to 507 of the family's 1533-position model. The record is from RNAcentral.
GAUGAACGCUGGCGGCGUGCCUAAUACAUGCAAGUCGAGCGAACGGACGAGAAGCUUGCUUCUCUGAUGUUAGCGGCGGACGGGUGAGUAACACGUGGAUAACCUACCUAUAAGACUGGGAUAACUUCGGGAAACCGGAGAUAAUACCGGAUAAUAUUUUGAACCGCAUGGUUCAAAAGUGAAAGACGGUCUUGCUGUCACUUAUAGAUGGAUCCGCGCUGCAUUAGCUAGUUGGUAAGGUAACGGCUUACCAAGGCAACGAUGCAUAGCCGACCUGAGAGGGUGAUCGGCCACACUGGAACUGAGACACGGUCCAGACUCCUACGGGAGGCAGCAGUGGGGAAUCUUCCGCAAUGGGCGAAAGCCUGACGGAGCAACGCCGCGUGAGUGAUGAAGGUCUUCGGAUCGUAAAGCUCUUUUAUUAGGGAAGAACAUAUGUGUAAGUAACUGUGCACAUCUUGACGGUACCUAAUCAGAAAGCCACGGCUAACUACGUG